Ciona savignyi (Pacific transparent sea squirt) is the source of this 73-nucleotide non-coding RNA. The record is from Rfam. NCBI's taxonomy places the organism in Eukaryota, Metazoa, Chordata, Ascidiacea, Phlebobranchia, Cionidae.
GCCCGGUUAGCUCAGCCGGUAGAGCGUUGGAAUUUUAAUCCAAAGACCAAGGUUUCAAGUCCCUUAUCGGGCU